GACGAACGCUGGCGGCGUGCUUAACACAUGCAAGUCGAGCGGUAAGGCCCUUCGGGUACGACGAGCGGCGAACGGGUGAGUAACACGUGGGUGACCUGCCUCUAGCUCUGGGAUAAGCCUGGGAAACUGGGUCUAAUACCGGAUAUGACUCCACGGCGCAUGUUGUGGGGUGGAAAGCCUUGUGUGGCUAGAGAUGGGCCCGCGGCCUAUCAGCUUGUUGGUGGGGUGAUGGCCUACCAAGGCGACGACGGUAGCCGGCCUGAGAGGGCGACCGGCCACACUGGGACUGAGACACGGCCCAGACUCCUACGGGAGGCAGCAGUGGGGAAUCUUGCGCAAUGGGCGAAAGCCUGACGCAGCGACGCCGCGUGAGGGAUGACGGCCUGGUGUAA
This 392-nucleotide ribosomal RNA is filed under the name uncultured bacterium. RNAcentral describes it as "bacterial SSU rRNA". It matches the Rfam family "Bacterial small subunit ribosomal RNA", at positions 28 to 428 of the family's 1533-position model. The record is from RNAcentral.